AUGGCCUCUGGGGAGGACGGGAAGGCGGCUGUCGUGCUCGCGCCGGAGGAUGGAGGCCGCCUCGCCUGGACGCGUGCUCGGCUGAGGGGUGACGCCCUUGUCAGCGGCGGAGAUGGCUAUGGCCGCAGCGGAGGACGAGGGGGAGGCACUGGUGACGACGAGGAAGGCGGGAGCACGGUUUCCCGGGCAGAUCCAUGGCAGCGGCGGCUUCUGGGCAGGAAGGGAGGUGAGGGAGAGAAGAAGGCAGAAAAUAGGAGCGGUGCCGCGACCGAGGCAGGAGCUCGUCGGAGCUGGGUGACGGCGGACGGGCGCAGGAGUGCGAGGGCGCUGGUCUCGCGCGCGAGGAGCGCCUCUCCUCGGGCGGAUCGGGAGGGAGCGAGGGAGGGAAACUCGAGAGCAAGCUCCCGCUUGGGCGGCUGCGCUGGUUGGUUCGGCGCACAAACGCCCACCUUGGCCGUCUCCGAUGGCUCAUCGCCGCCGCGGAUGUCAUGGACUCCGACCACGGGGAGCUCGCACGCCCUGCAGCGGCUGGAACUGGCUGAUGGUCGUCCCGCAUCCUCGACUUCAUCCUUUCCCGAGCCCUCCUCCAUCCAUGACCUCUGUAAUCUGCCAUAA
This 615-nucleotide ribosomal RNA is filed under the name Triticum aestivum (bread wheat). RNAcentral describes it as "partial small subunit ribosomal RNA". Lineage: Eukaryota; Viridiplantae; Streptophyta; Magnoliopsida; Poales; Poaceae. The record is from RNAcentral.